GGCCGACUGGCGAAAUGGCAUCGCGUCUGACUACGACUUUGUUGUAAUAUCAGGAGAUUGCAGGUUCGACCCCUGCGUCGGUCA
This is a transfer RNA of 84 nucleotides. It matches the Rfam family "tRNA". From Rfam's summary of the family: Transfer RNA (tRNA) molecules are approximately 80 nucleotides in length. Their secondary structure includes four short double-helical elements and three loops (D, anti-codon, and T loops). The record is from Rfam.